Molecule: long non-coding RNA, 1307 nt
Organism: Peromyscus leucopus (white-footed mouse)
Lineage: Eukaryota; Metazoa; Chordata; Mammalia; Rodentia; Cricetidae
Exons: 6
Source: RefSeq, a predicted model, not a curated record
CUGUGGGCACCAGGCAUGCACAUGGUACACAGAUAUACAUGUAAACAAAACACUCAUACACAGAAAUAAAAUUAAUUAAAAAGAGAAAUAUCCCAUUAGACCCAAAGACAUAGGCAUAACAACCAAGAUUCCUGAAUCCAACCACAAGUUCCUAAGGCCAGAAGUGCAUUGGCUAAGUAGAAAAAAUUUUUUUAAAAAUUGCAGUGCUAUUUUUAAUGUUUUGUUGGAAUCUGCUUUGAUCCCAUUACAGCUUAAGUGAAAUGCAUUAAGCCUGAGUCUGCUGCUAUUCUGCUCAAAUUAUACCUUAAAUCCCUGAGUAUGUGAAUUCUGAAAAUAUGUUGGGAAGGUGAACCUGGGACAAGGGAAUCCUGAAGACAUGUUUUCCAUGCCUGCAACCUUGAAUGGGAAUCACGAUAAGACCUCUCAGUGAGAAUGGAGAGUUUGAGCGUCAGAGUACAUGGAAGACUACGGUAGCAUUUCUUACCUUACUGAACUGCCCAGCCACAUACUUCAGGAUAUUGGGAGGCGCAUCGUAGAGAAAGGGUUCGAGGGCCGGGAGGACAUAAGAUUGAGGAGGAGGGGAUGAAGAGAGAGAGGAAGAGCAGAUGACUCUCGCACCUCGUCCCAGGCUCCACAUUACUGGCCCCAGCCAAGAAUACUCAGAUGAGACCGGGAGCAACAUGUGCUUCAGAGACAGGUAAGGACCACCGGGAAAAUCUCCGCUUCAACGACCAUCUCUGCCAGGUCCACAGAGUGCUUUGCAAUGUGGCUGAGAGCUGAAAGGACCUGGUGCUGAUAAGCAGAAACACAGGGUUGAGGAUCAUCUGGGCUAAGUGAGCAAUAGCUCCGACAUCCACCACCGUCUGUGCUAACUCUGGAGAAUGCUUUGAAAUGUCACUGAGGGCCGAGGCAGCAAUCCUUUUCAAAGCAAUUUCUGGCUCCUGGAUACAGAGCACUAAAAGAGGAACGGCUCCCGCAUCCACCACAGCUUGUGACAGUUCUGUGGGUCCAAGAAAAGUAAUUAAAGAAUGAAAGACGUUGGAGCAGACCCUUAUAGUACACAUGCAGUAAAUGCCAUUUGAGAAGCAGGAAGCUCUGUCCAGUAACACAUUCUACUCCUGAUGCAUGUGUGGUCCCAUGGAGUCACACACACCAUUUCUCCAAUUUCUUCCUCCCUCCCAAAUUACAUCUGUAUUUCCCCAUAUUUCUAUUGCCUUAGAUAUAAAUAAAUGUCUUAAUUGUCGAGCUAAAAUAGCUAUUUACCAUGUCACUUUAGUCUUUAAUUUGAAGAAAAUACUUAAUUUUUC